GAAUCUGGCUUCAGGUUCGGGACAACAGUUGGAAACGGCUGCUAAUACCGGAUGUGCCUUAUGGUGAAAGAUUUAUCACCUGAAGAUGAGCUCGCGUCUGAUUAGCUAGUAGGUGUGGUAAGAGCGCACCUAGGCGACGAUCAGUAGCUGGUCUGAGAGGAUGAUCAGCCACACUGGGACUGAGACACGGCCCAGACUCCUACGGGAGGCAGCAGUGGGGAAUUUUCCGCAAUGGGCGAAAGCCUGACGGAGCAAUACCGCGUGAGGGAGGAAGGCUCUUGGGUUGUAAACCUCUUUUCUCAGGGAAGAAUGAUGACGGUACCUGAGGAAUAAGCAUCGGCUAACUCCGUGCCAGCAGCCGCGGUAAUACGGAGGAUGCAAGCGUUAUCCGGAAUGAUUGGGCGUAAAGCGUCCGCAGGUGGCAAUGUAAGUCUGCUGUCAAAGCGCCUGGCUCAACCAGAUAAAGGCAGUGGAAACUACAUAGCUAGAGUAAGGUAGGGGUAGAGGGAAUUCCUGGUGUAGCGGUGAAAUGCGUAGAGAUCAGGAAGAACACCGGUGGCGAAAGCGCUCUGCUGGACCUUAACUGACACUGAGGGACGAAAGCUAGGGGAGCG
RNAcentral lists this ribosomal RNA (614 nucleotides) under uncultured cyanobacterium. Its description in RNAcentral is "bacterial SSU rRNA". It matches the Rfam family "Bacterial small subunit ribosomal RNA", at positions 122 to 770 of the family's 1533-position model. The record is from RNAcentral. Lineage: Bacteria; Bacillati; Cyanobacteriota.